This 72-nucleotide transfer RNA is filed under the name Mychonastes homosphaera. RNAcentral describes it as "tRNA-Ile". It matches the Rfam family "tRNA". From Rfam's summary of the family: Transfer RNA (tRNA) molecules are approximately 80 nucleotides in length. Their secondary structure includes four short double-helical elements and three loops (D, anti-codon, and T loops). Lineage: Eukaryota; Viridiplantae; Chlorophyta; Chlorophyceae; Sphaeropleales; Mychonastaceae. RNAcentral also lists the same sequence under 2 other names. The record is from RNAcentral.
GAGCGCAUAGCUUAAUGGUAGAGCGUAGGACCGAUAAUCCUAAGGCUGUAGGUUCAAGUCCUGCUGUGCUCA